Nicotiana tabacum (common tobacco) is the source of this 652-nucleotide non-coding RNA. Lineage: Eukaryota; Viridiplantae; Streptophyta; Magnoliopsida; Solanales; Solanaceae. The record is from RefSeq and is a predicted model, not a curated record.
UUUAUCUCAUUUUUGCCCAAAUUUCUUCCUGACUCCCGAAUUUCACAACUGAAAUUUAUGUCUGAUGUCCUCACUAUUCUAUCUAAUUCUCUCCCCAAUUUCACUACUGAUGUGAAGGUUUUUCAAUUGUCAUCCUCACAUAACUGCAAUCCUUUUUUUAAUAGCUGCAGAUUUAUUCUCCAGAUUAUGUGUCCUUCCUUCGGCUAGAUUCACCCGUAUAGCCGAUCAGAUCGACAGUGGGUUGAACAGAAACCUGUGAAUUUAAGACUUAAAUGUGUAGCCUAACAACAUGUGGACUUUGCUAUUCAAGGCUCUGAGAUAUUACAAGUCUUGCUUUGAUUAUCUGCUUUCUGAGAUGACCAAGAAGGUAAGGUUAAUGAUCCUGACUCAGAGAGAAGGACUGUUCAUGAUAAAUGGACAAUUUCCAGUAAAAGUAUCAUGAUGUUGUGACAAAGUUCAUUGAGGGACUUAUUAAUCGCGUGUUCCAGGUUGCAAUAUCGAAAUGGUUUUCCUGAGUAUUUUCCGAAAAACAGCAAUUAGGAAUAGAGAAUAUAUAUCAAAGAAAGGUCUAACUGUUGGAAUCAACGUCAAGUUAAGGUUAUCUUGAGUGCUGAUGUUUCUGGUGAAAAAAUAUGACAAGAUCGCGUGAAUA